This 253-nucleotide ribosomal RNA is filed under the name uncultured bacterium. RNAcentral describes it as "partial 16S ribosomal RNA". It matches the Rfam family "Bacterial small subunit ribosomal RNA", at positions 524 to 776 of the family's 1533-position model. The record is from RNAcentral.
UACGAAGGGUGCAAGCGUUACUCGGAAUUACUGGGCGUAAAGGGUGCGUAGGUGGUUGUUUAAGUCUGUUGUGAAAGCCCCGGGCUCAACCUGGGAAUGGCAAUGGAUACUGGACAGCUAGAGUGCGGUAGAGGGUAGUGGAAUUCCCGGUGUAGCAGUGAAAUGCGUAGAUAUCUGGAGGAACACCGGUGGCGAAGGCGGCAUCCUGGACCGACACUGACGCUGAGGAGCGAAAGCCAGGGGAGCAAACGGG